AGGGGCGGACGGGUGAGUAACGCGUGGGUAACCUGCCCUGUACACACGGAUAACAUACCGAAAGGUAUGCUAAUACGAGAUAAUAUACUUUUAUCGCAUGGUAGAAGUAUCAAAGCUCCGGCGGUACAGGAUGGACCCGCGUCUGAUUAGCUAGUUGGUAAGGUAACGGCUUACCAAGGCGACGAUCAGUAGCCGACCUGAGAGGGUGAUCUGCCACAUUGGAACUGAGACACGGUCCAAACUCCUACGGGAGGCAGCAGUGGGGAAUAUUGCACAAUGGGCGAAAGCCUGAUGCAGCAACGCCGCGUGAGCGAUGAAGGCCUUCGGGUCGUAAAGCUCUGUCCUCAAGGAAGAUAAUGACGGUACUUGAGGAGGAAGCCCCGGCUAACUACGUGCCAGCAGCCGCGGUAAUACGUAGGGGGCUAGCGUUAUCCGAAAUUACUGGGCGUAAAGGGUGCGUAGGUGGUUUCUUAAGUCAGAGGUGAAAGGCUACGGCUCAACCGUAGUAAGCCUUUGAAACUGGGAAACUUGAGUGCAGGAGAGGAGAGCGGAAUUCCUAGUGUAGCGGUGAAAUGCGUAGAUAUUAGGAGGAACACCAGUUGCGAAGGCGGCUCUCUGGACUGUAACUGACACUGAGGCACGAAAGCGUGGGGAGCAAACAGGAUUAGAUACCCUGGUAGUCCACGCCGUAAACGAUGAGUACUAGCUGU
Molecule: ribosomal RNA, 710 nt
Filed under: uncultured bacterium
Lineage: Bacteria
Description: bacterial SSU rRNA
Rfam family: Bacterial small subunit ribosomal RNA
Source: RNAcentral